AAUAAGCGGAGGAAAAGAAACCAACAGGGAUUGCCCUAGUAACGGCGAGCGAAGCGGCAACAGCUCAAAUUUGAAAUCUGGCUACUUUGUAGUCCGAGUUGUAAUUUGUAGAGGAUGCUUUUGGUGAGGUGCCUUCCGAGUUCCCUGGAACGGGACGCCAGAGAGGGUGAGAGCCCCGUACGGUUGGAUACCAAACCUUUGUAUAGCUCCUUCAACGAGUCGAGUAGUUUGGGAAUGCUGCUCUAAAUGGGAGGUAUAUCUCUUCUAAAGCUAAAUAUAGGCUAGAGACCGAUAGCGCACAAGUAGAGUGAUCGAAAGAUGAAAAGCACUUUGAAAAGAGAGUUAAACAGCACGUGAAAUUGUUGAAAGGGAAGCGCCUAUGACCAGACUUGUUUCUUUCAGUUUUGUUAGUUCUCGGACUGAUUUACUCUGUUAGUACAGGCCAGCAUCAGUUUGUUGUCGGGGAGAAAGGCUUAGGGAAUGUGGCUCCUUCGGGAGUGUUAUAGCCCUUUGCAUAAUACCCUUCGGCAGACUGAGGACCGCGCUUCGGCAAGGAUGCUGGCGUAAUGGUCAUCAGCGACCCGUCUUGAAACACGGACCAAGGAGUCAACCUUAUGUGCGAGUGUUUGGGUGUAAAACCCCAGCGCGUAAUGAACGUGAACGUAGGUGAGAGCUUCGGCGCAUCAUCGACCGAUUCUGAUGUUCUCGGAUGGAUUUGAGUAAGAGCACACAGGGUUGGACCCGAAAGAAGGUGAACUAUGCUUGUAUAGGGUGAAGCCAGAGGAAACUCUGGUGGAGGCUCGCAGCGGUUCUGACGUGCAAAUCGAUCGUCAAAUAUGAGCAUGGGGGCGAAAGACUAAUCGAACCUUCUAGUAGCUGGUUCCAGCCGAUUUCCCC
RNAcentral lists this ribosomal RNA (897 nucleotides) under Chalaropsis thielavioides. RNAcentral's name for it is "partial large subunit ribosomal RNA". It matches the Rfam family "Eukaryotic large subunit ribosomal RNA", at positions 45 to 973 of the family's 3401-position model. The record is from RNAcentral. Lineage: Eukaryota; Fungi; Ascomycota; Sordariomycetes; Microascales; Ceratocystidaceae.